Molecule: ribosomal RNA, 484 nt
Filed under: uncultured bacterium
Lineage: Bacteria
Description: partial 16S ribosomal RNA
Rfam family: Bacterial small subunit ribosomal RNA
Source: RNAcentral
AAUGAACGCUGGCGGCAUGCCUAACACAUGCAAGUCGAGCGGAUGAAUGGAGCUUGCUCCUGGAUUCAGCGGCGGACGGUUGGGUCAUGCCUAUGAAUCUGCCUUGUCGUGGGGGAUGACGUCCGAAAACGGGCGCUAAUACCGCAUACGACCAGAUAGAGAAUUUGGGGGAUCUUCGGACCUCACGCUAUCUGAUGAGGCUAGGUGCGAUUACCUAGUUGGGGGGGUAAAGGCCUACCCAGGCGACGAUCCGUAACUGGUCUGAGAGGAUGAUCAGUCAGACGGGAAGUGAGACACGGUCCAGACUCCUACAGGAGGAAGCAGUGGGGAAUAUUGCGCAAAGGGCGAAAGCCUGAUAGAGCAAUGCCGCGUGAGUGAUGAAGGACUUCGGAUUGUAAAGCACUGAAAGUUGGGAGGAAGGAAAGUAAGUUUAUCCCUGACUGUAUUGACGGUACCAACAGAAUAAGCACCGGCUAACUUCGUG